This 74-nucleotide transfer RNA is filed under the name Gimesia aquarii. Its description in RNAcentral is "tRNA-Asn". It matches the Rfam family "tRNA". From Rfam's summary of the family: Transfer RNA (tRNA) molecules are approximately 80 nucleotides in length. Their secondary structure includes four short double-helical elements and three loops (D, anti-codon, and T loops). Further hydrogen bonds mediate the characteristic L-shaped molecular structure. tRNAs have two regions of fundamental functional importance: the anti-codon, which is responsible for specific mRNA codon recognition, and the 3' end, to which the tRNAs corresponding amino acid is attached (by aminoacyl-tRNA synthetases). tRNAs cope with the degeneracy of the genetic code in two manners: having more than one tRNA (with a specific anti-codon) for a particular amino acid; and 'wobble' base-pairing, i.e. permitting non-standard base-pairing at the 3rd anti-codon position. Lineage: Bacteria; Pseudomonadati; Planctomycetota; Planctomycetia; Planctomycetales; Planctomycetaceae. The record is from RNAcentral.
AUACAGCUAGCUCAAUGGUAGAGCACUAGGCUAUUACCCUAGAAGUCGAAGGUUCAAAUCCUUCGCUGAAACCC